RNAcentral lists this ribosomal RNA (465 nucleotides) under Vreelandella stevensii. RNAcentral's name for it is "partial 16S ribosomal RNA". It matches the Rfam family "Bacterial small subunit ribosomal RNA", at positions 338 to 795 of the family's 1533-position model. Lineage: Bacteria; Pseudomonadati; Pseudomonadota; Gammaproteobacteria; Oceanospirillales; Halomonadaceae. The record is from RNAcentral.
CCUACGGGCGGCUGCAGUGGGGAAUAUUGGACAAUGGGGGGAACCCUGAUCCAGCCAUGCCGCGUGUGUGAAGAAGGCCCUCGGGUUGUAAAGCACUUUCAGUGAGGAAGAACGCCUGGUGGUUAAUACCCAUCAGGAAAGACAUCACUCACAGAAGAAGCACCGGCUAACUCUGUGCCAGCAGCCGCGGUAAUACGGAGGGUGCGAGCGUUAAUCGGAAUUACUGGGCGUAAAGCGCGCGUAGGUGGCUUGAUAAGCCGGUUGUGAAAGCCCCGGGCUCAACCUGGGAACGGCAUCCGGAACUGUCAAGCUAGAGUGCAGGAGAGGAAGGUAGAAUUCCCGGUGUAGCGGUGAAAUGCGUAGAGAUCGGGAGGAAUACCAGUGGCGAAGGCGGCCUUCUGGACUGACACUGACACUGAGGUGCGAAAGCGUGGGUAGCAAACAGGAUUAGAUACCCCUGUAGUC